GGCGAUAUCGUCUAAGGGUUAGGACGGUGCCCUCUCAAGGCACAAAUCCGGGUUCGAUUCCCGGUAUCGCUACCA
This 75-nucleotide transfer RNA is filed under the name Terriglobia bacterium. RNAcentral describes it as "tRNA-Glu". It matches the Rfam family "tRNA". From Rfam's summary of the family: Transfer RNA (tRNA) molecules are approximately 80 nucleotides in length. Their secondary structure includes four short double-helical elements and three loops (D, anti-codon, and T loops). Further hydrogen bonds mediate the characteristic L-shaped molecular structure. tRNAs have two regions of fundamental functional importance: the anti-codon, which is responsible for specific mRNA codon recognition, and the 3' end, to which the tRNAs corresponding amino acid is attached (by aminoacyl-tRNA synthetases). tRNAs cope with the degeneracy of the genetic code in two manners: having more than one tRNA (with a specific anti-codon) for a particular amino acid; and 'wobble' base-pairing, i.e. permitting non-standard base-pairing at the 3rd anti-codon position. RNAcentral also lists the same sequence under 1 other name. Lineage: Bacteria; Pseudomonadati; Acidobacteriota; Terriglobia. The record is from RNAcentral.